Rhinolophus ferrumequinum (greater horseshoe bat) is the source of this 104-nucleotide small nucleolar RNA. The record is from Ensembl. NCBI's taxonomy places the organism in Eukaryota, Metazoa, Chordata, Mammalia, Chiroptera, Rhinolophidae.
AUCCUUUUGUAGUUCAUAAGUGUGAUGACGGGGUGUUCAUGCUCUUAUGUGACGUGUGCCUCCCUCACAUCUUGUUACGACAUCGCCACAUUACCCGUCUGGCG